GCUUCGUGAAAGACAUGGGUAGUGAGAUGUUUAACCAUUAUUUUUUUGUCUCACUACCUUGUCUUUCAUGGAGAG
This is a microRNA precursor of Oryctes borbonicus, 75 nucleotides long. It matches the Rfam family "mir-71 microRNA precursor family". Lineage: Eukaryota; Metazoa; Arthropoda; Insecta; Coleoptera; Scarabaeidae. The record is from Rfam.